Molecule: non-coding RNA, 219 nt
Organism: Pelobates cultripes (western spadefoot toad)
Lineage: Eukaryota; Metazoa; Chordata; Amphibia; Anura; Pelobatidae
Source: the annotation of a GenBank genome assembly
CUUCUCAUUAUUAAAGAUGGUACCGGGAUUUUUAUUUUUCUCUCUGAUAAAACUAUUAACCAGGGAGCUUCUUAAAUUUCUAACACCUCUGUGGACAAACUUAGGUUUAUUUGAUAAAAAGGAUUUUAAAAGUGGAUCUUGUAAUAAAAUUGGCCAGUAUUUUGUUAUAAUUCUACGUACUUGAUGAUUCUUGGUGUUAAAAUUACAGAUAAAAGGGAC